Molecule: unclassified non-coding RNA, 4049 nt
Filed under: Hermetia illucens (black soldier fly)
Lineage: Eukaryota; Metazoa; Arthropoda; Insecta; Diptera; Stratiomyidae
Description: cryptochrome-1-like, transcript variant X5
Source: RNAcentral
AGUCGCUAGCAGUUAGUAGUCGCGUUCGGUGGAGCUUCUGCUGGAGCUCCGGAGAAAUUUCAUUGAAUUCUAUAAAAUAAUUGAUUUAUUGAUGAUUUGUGGAAAAAGGAGCUUUAUAUAGUUAAUGUGAAACCGGGAAAUUGUAAUUAUAUACAACCAUAUGCAACAAAAGUGAAUUAUACACUUAUAUUGUGAAGAAGUGCCCACAAAAGAGUACUAAUUCAAACUAAUGAAUUUCCAGUGUAAAUGAAAAUUAAGUAAAAGAAUUUUAUGAAAAGUGAAAAACAAGAAAUAAAUUGGUUUGAUUUUCAUAAACUGACUAUACCCCAAGGACCUUGUUAUUUAAAAAAAAUAAAAAGUGGAAAACCCUAAAGUGCACUUUCUUCUAAAAUAGACGAGUAUCCUAAUUGUGGUGGAGUUGUAUUUUUCGGAGUCAACGAGUAUUCGUCUAAUAAUUUCAGUGCAACUUUUGGAUUAGUUUUCAUUACUGCAAAAUUGUAUUCAAGAUUCCUCUCUUCAAUGGUAGUCUGUGGAAUUUCGGAAAGGGCAGCGAAUCGAUUUGAAUUUAUUCCGAGAGUGUAAAUUCUUUUACUAAAGUUACGCAUAUUGAACUAUAGAAAAUUUGUGAGUUUUAUAGAGAUUUUGAUAGCUCGGAAAGUUCUAGCAAGAUAUUAUAUAAUUUAUUGAAAAAGGUCGAUUGAAGUGCUAGCAAGGUAUUAAAGGAUUUAUUGAGAAAGUCGAUUAAACGGAUUAAAGAUAACCAAACUAACACCACAAGGGUCCAUCAUAAUACAACCAAAGUCAAAGUGGUCCAUAAUGAGUGUAGUGGACCCGACAUAAAAAAAUUAAAUUUUCCUCAAAUAAGUUUAGUUUCUUCCGGUUAUUGUUGGCGGAUAGUGGAAUUCUGUGUGAGAAUACGAGUCCUUAGUGAAAGUUGUAAGCUAAAUUAUGUCUGCACCACAAGUUGAAAGGACAAAUCCCAAUAUUGAGUAUAAUAAUGUGCGACCGAUUAAUGGUGAACGCCACACUGUGCAUUGGUUUCGAAAAGGAUUGAGAUUGCACGAUAAUCCAGCGUUACGAGAAGGACUUAUUGGCGCGACAACCUUUCGAUGUGUUUUUGUCAUUGAUCCUUGGUUUGCUGGAAGUUCAAACGUUGGAAUAAAUAAGUGGAGAUUCCUUUUACAAUGCCUCGAAGAUUUGGAUCGAAGUCUGCGACAAUUAAAUUCCCGAUUAUUCGUUAUUCGUGGUCAGCCAGCCGAUGCUUUGCCGAAAUUAUUCAAGGAAUGGGGCACAACAUGCUUAACGUUCGAAGAAGAUCCCGAGCCAUUUGGGAAAGUUCGUGAUAAGAAUGUUAUAGAGAUGUGUCGUGAAUUAAAGAUUGAAGUAAUUGUUGCAGUAUCUCAUACACUCUAUAAGUUAGAUACAAUAAUUGAGCGAAAUGCGGGGCGAGCACCCCUCACCUACCACCAGUUCCAGGCGAUAAUCGCUGAAAUGAAGCCACCUGCAAAACCAGAGGAAGCCAUCAACAGUGAAAACAUCGGAAACGUUUAUACACCAAUGUCCGAAGACCAUGAUGACAAAUACAAUGUACCGACCUUAUAUGAACUAGGUUUUGAUACGGAAGGACUGAAACCACCCGUAUGGGUUGGUGGCGAAACUGAGGCGUUGGCUAGAUUGGAAAGACAUUUGGAGCGAAAAGCAUGGGUUGCAUCUUUUGGCCGUCCAAAAAUGACUCCACAAUCACUUCUAGCUAGUCAGACAGGGCUGUCACCGUAUUUACGUUUUGGUUGUCUUAGUACAAGAUUGUUUUAUCAUCAAUUAAGUGGUAAGUUUCAAAACUUGUACAAGAAAAUCAAGAAAGGAAAUCCACCCCUAUCAUUACACGGUCAACUUCUAUGGCGUGAAUUCUUCUAUUGUGCGGCAACUCGUAAUCCAAACUUCGACAAAAUGGAAGGCAAUCCAAUUUGUGUGCAGAUACCAUGGGACAAGAACUGUGAAGCUUUAGCUAAAUGGGCGAAUGGUCAAACCGGCUUUCCAUGGAUCGAUGCAAUCAUGACACAACUCAGGGAAGAAGGAUGGAUUCACCAUUUGGCACGUCAUGCAGUCGCUUGCUUCCUGACCAGAGGGGAUCUAUGGAUAUCCUGGGAGGAAGGGAUGAAAGUGUUUGAAGAAUUGUUGCUGGAUGCUGAUUGGUCUGUGAAUGCUGGAAUGUGGAUGUGGUUAUCGUGCUCGUCAUUUUUUCAACAGUUUUUUCAUUGUUAUUGUCCUGUCCGGUUUGGACGCAAGGCUGAUCCUAAUGGAGAUUAUAUUAGGCGAUAUUUGCCUGUACUUAAGAAUUUCCCUACCAAAUACAUUCACGAACCUUGGAAUGCACCCGAAAGUGUCCAGAGAGCUGCCAAAUGUAUUAUUGGAAAAGAAUACUCCUUGCCAAUGGUUAAUCAUGCCGUGGCGAGUAGAACUAAUAUGGAACGUUUGAAGCAAGUUUACCAACAAAUCGCCAAAUAUCGGCCUCAAGAUGAUGAGUCUAGCAUGAAAGGAGGAUCUGCAAUUCCUGGUAUGCUUGCAGCGGCCCGUGCACAAUGUGGAACAACCAUGAACAUAGUAUCCAGCCCUAGCCCGACAACUGUGAUAACAAACAUAAACAAUUCCGAGAACAACUAUAUUUGCCAGCAGCAGCAACAAGCACCAAAUUCAGGACAUGUUAACCUUGUCACCAACAAUCAUCAACAAACAGCGCGAUCUCGAUAUAUUAUCACAAAAAGGGAGUAUGAUUUCUCGAAGCAGGAGAGCUUAACCGUAACCUCCACCUCUGGGUAUAUCCAACAUCCUGAACAGCCACCACAUCAAAAGUCCGGUUACGACAAAUCCAUCCUUGGGGAGAAUUUUCAGUACAACGAGAACAUCAAAAAUCAACAGGAGCGCAACAACCAACACUACAACCGCAUGACAAUUUCGGAUUUGAACAACGAACAAAAUAUCAAAUCAGAGGGACUGACUGCAGAUGUCCUGACCUACCGUAAGCAGUACAUCAACCACUCCGUAGUAGUGCACUAUGGCUACAACUCUAAUGAAUGUACCAACGAGCUUAGCUACGACAAUUACCGCAAUGAAUAUCCUGGAUCGAAUCAUGAUAUAACCUUGCAGAUUUACCAUCAACAACAGCAACAUCAUCAGCAGCAACAACUGCAACAGCAGCAUCAGAUGCAACAUCAACCCCAACAUGAUUCGUUGAAUAAUUUAUCGAAUGUGCAUCAACAGUUGCAGCAACAAAUGAAAACCGAAGCCAACGAGAUAAAAGCACCGAAUUUUAAAUGUGAUCUGGACGAAAACUCCAAGUGAAGCAUAUUGAGCACCAUUUUGUAAUGGAUGUGACAAUUAGAGAAGAAGCAGAUGUCACCUGCGAAUUUAUUUUUCCAUUGGUGCCCCUUCGGAGAAGGCAGAUUUGAUGGGCUCCCUCUUGAGCUCCAAUAUAUAUUUAACGUUUCUAAUAUUAUAAAUCAAAUUAAAAGCUAAUCAUUACAACUCCAAUAACUUUUUUAACCUAUGGACUCGGACGCCUAACACCGUAUUCUUCCUUUUAAUUUUUUGAGGAUGGAUUCAACCCCAUAGAGAACAGAAGAAGUAAAUAAAUGAAAAAGUCAAAAGUGAGAAAGUGAAAUAGUGACAAAAUGAAUAAAUAAAAGUGCAAAAAAGUGAAAAAAUCAAAAAGUGAGAAAGUGAAAAAAUUAAAAAGUGAAAAAGUGACAAAGUCGAGAAGAGAAAAAGCGAACAAAUUGUGUUUUUUGUAGAAAAUUGAAGGUUUGAAGAAGGUUAUACCAUAAGAAUCUAAAACAGAAGGAUAGCGGAAGAAUAGAAAGAAGAAGAAGACGAUUAGAACGAACUACGCAAAAAUUAGAAUAGACAAGCGGAACAUCCUGUGAGACUGCACUGCAUUUACUACUGCUUCAACAAAUAUGCUGAGCGUUCGCGUCACAACCUAUUAAGGGUUCAACGCCACUUGAUUCUGAAUACGCUACCCGAUCCCUUAGUUCUUGCGUCGGCGGUGGACA